RNAcentral lists this ribosomal RNA (477 nucleotides) under uncultured bacterium. RNAcentral's name for it is "partial 16S ribosomal RNA". It matches the Rfam family "Bacterial small subunit ribosomal RNA", at positions 28 to 507 of the family's 1533-position model. The record is from RNAcentral.
GAUAAACGCUGGCGGCGUGCAUAACACAUGCAAGUCGAACGAUGAAGAUUAAAAGAUUUCUUCGGAAUGAACUUAAUUGGAUUAGUGGCGGACGGGUGAGUAACGCGUGAGUAACCUGCCUUGUACAAGGGGAUAGCCGUUGGAAACGACGAAUAAUACCCUAUGACAUCAAAUAAUCGCAUGAUAAUUUGAUCAAAGAUUUAUCGGUAUAAGAUGGACUCGCGUCUGAUUAGCUAGUUGGAAGAGUAAAAGCCUACCAAGGCAACGAUCAGUAGCCGGCUUGAGAGAGUGUACGGCCACAUUGGGACUGAGACACGGCCCAGACUCCUACGGGAGGCAGCAGUGGGGAAUUUUGCACAAUGGGGGAAACCCUGAUGCAGCGACGCCGCGUGAUUUAGAAGGCCUUCGGGUUGUAAAAAUCUUUUGUAUGGGAAGAAAAUGACAGUACCAUACGAAUAAGGACCGGCUAAUUACGUG